UGCAUUAUUUUGUGAGAAUUAUUUAGGUGCUCUAAAAGAAUAGAGGUGCGGUUCUGAAAUAAUAGAUGUUGAUCCAAACCUUGCUUGAGUGCAGGUGUGUAAUGUCAAUCAAUUAUUUCUUAUUUGAGUGUCAGAAAUGCUUUCUGAGUGAAUCAUUUCCAUUGGCUGCUUCUUAUUACCAUGCAUGUAUAUGUAAUGAAAAGUUGUAGUUAUACUUUGUCUUCCUCACACAGGUCCAUGAGUCCAGCCUACAGACAACUCAUACAACAAAACAGAGUGAACAACUUAAUCUCUUGUAUGCCUAACUAUGCGGAUAUAGGUAACGCAGCAUUCGUUUGUUUUCUAUAACUUUACUGCGCAUAUGUGAAUUAGUAUAUCUUCAGUUUGUUCCACACCCCUCUGUUUUAUAUAAUCCCGUGACAUUUUAUAUUUGUACAACUUGCAUGGAAGGAAGUAAAGCAAAUUUGGGAUUCACCAUGACGAUGUGCAUUCUAGGAUUCACCAUGACGUUG
Molecule: long non-coding RNA, 512 nt
Filed under: Triticum aestivum (bread wheat)
Lineage: Eukaryota; Viridiplantae; Streptophyta; Magnoliopsida; Poales; Poaceae
Description: long non-coding RNA (TAES_LNC027550)
Source: RNAcentral